Molecule: ribosomal RNA, 364 nt
Filed under: uncultured bacterium
Lineage: Bacteria
Description: bacterial SSU rRNA
Rfam family: Bacterial small subunit ribosomal RNA
Source: RNAcentral
AGCGAACGCUGGCGGCAGGCUUAACACAUGCAAGUCGAGCGGGCGUAGCAAUACGUCAGCGGCAGACGGGUGAGUAACGCGUGGGAACAUACCUUUUGGUUCGGAACAACACAGGGAAACUUGUGCUAAUACCGGAUAAGCCCUUACGGGGAAAGAUUUAUCGCCGAAAGAUUGGCCCGCGUCUGAUUAGCUAGUUGGUGAGGUAAUGGCUCACCAAGGCGACGAUCAGUAGCUGGUCUGAGAGGAUGAUCAGCCACAUUGGGACUGAGACACGGCCCAAACUCCUACGGGAGGCAGCAGUGGGGAAUAUUGGACAAUGGGCGCAAGCCUGAUCCAGCCAUGCCGCGUGAGUGAUGAAGGCCUU